AUGGAAACGGAGAACAAUACACACAUUUCAAAAUUUCUUCGGGGAUUUUCAGAGGAAGCAGAACUGCAGCACUUAUAUUUGGGCUUUUCUUCUCCAUGUACCUGAUCACUGUGUUUGGAAACCUGCUCAUCAUCCUGGCUUUCAGCUCUGACUCCCACCUCCAUUCACCCAUGUACUUUUUUCUCUCCAACCUUACCCUUAUAGACAUCUGUUUCACCUCUACCACCAUCCCAAAGAUGCUAUGGAACAUUCAAAACAAGAGCAAAUUUUUAACUUUUGAUGGCUGCAUCACCCAGAUGUAUUUUCACAUACGGUUUGCAGGCUUAGAUGAUGCUCUCCUGAGUGUGAUGGCAUAUGACAGGUUUGUGGCCAUCUGCCACCCCCUGCACUACAUGAGCAUAAUGAACCCUGGACUCUGUGGACUGUUGGUUCUGAUCUCCUGGAUAAUGAUGGCCAUGUAUUCCUUGUUACACACCUUAAUGGUGUUGCGAUUGUCCUUCUGUCCAGAUUUGGAAAUCCCCCACUUUUUCUGUGAACUCAAUCAGCUGGUACAACUUGCCAGUUCUGACACAUUUCUCAAUAACCUGGUGAUGUAUUUUGCAGCUCUCCUUAUGAGCGUUAGUCCUUUUUCUGGUAUCCUUUACUCUUACUUGAAAAUAUUUGCUUGCAUUCAUAGAAUCUCAUCAGCUCAGGGGAAGUAUAAAGCACUUUCCACCUGUGUGUCUCACCUUUCCAUUGUCAUUUUGUUUUAUUGUACAGGCCUAAGUGUAUACCUUAGCUCUGCUGCUACCCACAGCUCACACUCAAGUGCAACUGCCUCGGUGAUAUACAUUGUGGUCACACCCAUGCUGAACCCAUUCAUCUAUAGUCUGAGAAAUAAAGACAUAAAGAAAGCACUGAAGAGAUUCUAUUUGAUGCCAGGUAAAAAAUGGACAAUUAUCCUGGGUGUGAUGAAAUGCCCUUGA
RNA transcript from Phacochoerus africanus (Common warthog), 965 nucleotides. It is a transcript of the gene named olfactory receptor-like protein OLF4, with no coding region annotated. The record is from RefSeq and is a predicted model, not a curated record. NCBI's taxonomy places the organism in Eukaryota, Metazoa, Chordata, Mammalia, Artiodactyla, Suidae. The transcript has a single exon.